CUGCUAAGCUAAGGGAGCUAGGAGCAGCGUGCUCGAGAAGACGGCACAUUUUGUGAGCCACGCGGCACGGCGUUGGGGUGUGUGUUUACGGACGAGUCCAGGGGGACGGUUGCAUCCGCCGGUUGCCGACCAGGAACACGGAGGACUGGAAGGUGGCAGUAUAUUGAGUGCUAGUUGCUGUUCUCUCUCUGGUUUUUUUCUUUUUCCUUUUUUUCUUUGCUGCUCCA
Molecule: long non-coding RNA, 227 nt
Organism: Trichomycterus rosablanca
Lineage: Eukaryota; Metazoa; Chordata; Actinopteri; Siluriformes; Trichomycteridae
Exons: 3
Source: RefSeq, a predicted model, not a curated record